AAAUUGAAGAGUUUGAUCAUGGCUCAGAUUGAACGCUGGCGGCAGGCCUAACACAUGCAAGUCGAGCGGUAGCACAGAGAGCUUGCUCUCGGGUGACGAGCGGCGGACGGGUGAGUAAUGUCUGGGAAACUGCCUGAUGGAGGGGGAUAACUACUGGAAACGGUAGCUAAUACCGCAUAAUGUCGCAAGACCAAAGUGGGGGACCUUCGGGCCUCAUGCCAUCAGAUGUGCCCAGAUGGGAUUAGCUAGUAGGUGGGGUAACGGCUCACCUAGGCGACGAUCCCUAGCUGGUCUGAGAGGAUGACCAGCCACACUGGAACUGAGACACGGUCCAGACUCCUACGGGAGGCAGCAGUGGGGAAUAUUGCACAAUGGGCGCAAGCCUGAUGCAGCCAUGCCGCGUGUGUGAAGAAGGCCUUCGGGUUGUAAAGCACUUUCAGCGGGGAGGAAGGCGAUAAGGUUAAUAACCUUGUUGAUUGACGUUACCCGCAGAAGAAGCACCGGCUAACUCCGUGCCAGCAGCCGCGGUAAUACGGAGGGUGCAAGCGUUAAUCGGAAUUACUGGGCGUAAAGCGCACGCAGGCGGUCUGUCAAGUCGGAUGUGAAAUCCCCGGGCUCAACCUGGGAACUGCAUUCGAAACUGGCAGGCUAGAGUCUUGUAGAGGGGGGUAGAAUUCCAGGUGUAGCGGUGAAAUGCGUAGAGAUCUGGAGGAAUACCGGUGGCGAAGGCGGCCCCCUGGACAAAGACUGACGCUCAGGUGCGAAAGCGUGGGGAGCAAACAGGAUUAGAUACCCUGGUAGUCCACGCCGUAAACGAUGUCGAUUUGGAGGUUGUGCCCUUGAGGCGUGGCUUCCGGAGCUAACGCGUUAAAUCGACCGCCUGGGGAGUACGGCCGCAAGGUUAAAACUCAAAUGAAUUGACGGGGGCCCGCACAAGCGGUGGAGCAUGUGGUUUAAUUCGAUGCAACGCGAAGAACCUUACCUGGUCUUGACAUCCACAGAACUUAGCAGAGAUGCUUUGGUGCCUUCGGGAACUGUGAGACAGGUGCUGCAUGGCUGUCGUCAGCUCGUGUUGUGAAAUGUUGGGUUAAGUCCCGCAACGAGCGCAACCCUUAUCCUUUGUUGCCAGCGGUUAGGCCGGGAACUCAAAGGAGACUGCCAGUGAUAAACUGGAGGAAGGUGGGGAUGACGUCAAGUCAUCAUGGCCCUUACGACCAGGGCUACACACGUGCUACAAUGGCAUAUACAAAGAGAAGCGACCUCGCGAGAGCAAGCGGACCUCAUAAAGUAUGUCGUAGUCCGGAUUGGAGUCUGCAACUCGACUCCAUGAAGUCGGAAUCGCUAGUAAUCGUAGAUCAGAAUGCUACGGUGAAUACGUUCCCGGGCCUUGUACACACCGCCCGUCACACCAUGGGAGUGGGUUGCAAAAGAAGUAGGUAGCUUAACCUUCGGGAGGGCGCUUACCACUUUGUGAUUCAUGACUGGGGUGAAGUCGUAACAAGGUAACCGUAGGGGAACCUGCGGUUGGAUCACCUCCUUA
RNAcentral lists this ribosomal RNA (1540 nucleotides) under Klebsiella quasipneumoniae. RNAcentral's name for it is "16S ribosomal RNA". It matches the Rfam family "Bacterial small subunit ribosomal RNA". The record is from RNAcentral. RNAcentral also lists the same sequence under 1 other name. Lineage: Bacteria; Pseudomonadati; Pseudomonadota; Gammaproteobacteria; Enterobacterales; Enterobacteriaceae.